GACGUAGGGGGCCAGCGUUGUUCGGAAUUACUGGGUGUAAAGGGUUCGUAGGCGGUGCGGCAAGUCGGGAGUAAAAUCUCUGGGCUUAACCCAGAGGCUGCUUCCGAAACUGCUGUGCUUGAGUGUGGGAGAGGCGCGUGGAAUUGCAGGUGUAGCGGUGAAAUGCGUAGAUAUCUGCAGGAACACCCGUGGCGAAAGCGGCGCGCUGGACCACUACUGACGCUGAGGAACGAAAGCUAGGGGAGCAAACAGG
RNAcentral lists this ribosomal RNA (253 nucleotides) under uncultured bacterium. RNAcentral describes it as "partial 16S ribosomal RNA". It matches the Rfam family "Bacterial small subunit ribosomal RNA", at positions 524 to 776 of the family's 1533-position model. The record is from RNAcentral.